RNAcentral lists this ribosomal RNA (253 nucleotides) under uncultured bacterium. RNAcentral's name for it is "partial 16S ribosomal RNA". It matches the Rfam family "Bacterial small subunit ribosomal RNA", at positions 524 to 776 of the family's 1533-position model. The record is from RNAcentral.
UACAGAGGUCCCGAGCGUUGUUCGGAUUCAUUGGGCGUAAAGGGUGCGUAGGUGGCGCCGUAAGUCGGGUGUGAAAUUUCGGAGCUUAACUCCGAAACUGCAUUCGAUACUGCGGUGCUUGAGGACUGGAGAGGAGACUGGAAUUCAUGGUGUAGCAGUGAAAUGCGUAGAGAUCAUGAGGAAGACCAGUGGCGAAGGCGGCAUCCUGGACCGACACUGACACUGAGGAGCGAAAGCCAGGGGAGCAAACGGG